RNAcentral lists this ribosomal RNA (450 nucleotides) under uncultured bacterium. RNAcentral's name for it is "partial 16S ribosomal RNA". It matches the Rfam family "Bacterial small subunit ribosomal RNA", at positions 354 to 796 of the family's 1533-position model. The record is from RNAcentral.
GUGGGGAAUUUUGGACAAUGGGGGCAACCCUGAUCCAGCCAUGCCGCGUGCGGGAAGAAGGCCUUCGGGUUGUAAACCGCUUUUGUCAGGGAAGAAAUCCUUUGGGUUAAUACCUCGGAGGGAUGACGGUACCUGAAGAAUAAGCACCGGCUAACUACGUGCCAGCAGCCGCGGUAAUACGUAGGGUGCGAGUGUUAAUCGGAAUUACUGGGCGUAAAGCGUGCGCAGGCGGUUUUGUAAGAUCGAUGUGAAAUCCCCGGGCUCAACCUGGGAACUGCAUUGGUGACUGCAAGGCUGGAGUGCGGCAGAGGGGGAUGGAGUUCCGCGUGUAGCAGUGAAAUGCGUAGAUAUGCGGAGGAACACCGAUGGCGAAGGCAAUCCCCUGGGCCUGCACUGACGCUCAUGCACGAAAGCGUGGGGAGCAAACAGGAUUAGAUACCCCGGUAGUCC